GAUGAACGCUGGCGGCGUGCCUAAUACAUGCAAGUCGAGCGAACAGACGAGGAGCUUGCUCCUCUGACGUUAGCGGCGGACGGGUGAGUAACACGUGGAUAACCUACCUAUAAGACUGGGAUAACUUCGGGAAACCGGAGCUAAUACCGGAUAAUAUAUUGAACCGCAUGGUUCAAUAGUGAAAGACGGUUUUGCUGUCACUUAUAGAUGGAUCCGCGCCGCAUUAGCUAGUUGGUAAGGUAACGGCUUACCAAGGCAACGAUGCGUAGCCGACCUGAGAGGGUGAUCGGCCACACUGGAACUGAGACACGGUCCAGACUCCUACGGGAGGCAGCAGUAGGGAAUCUUCCGCAAUGGGCGAAAGCCUGACGGAGCAACGCCGCGUGAGUGAUGAAGGUCUUCGGAUCGUAAAACUCUGUUAUUAGGGAAGAACAAAUGUGUAAGUAACUGUGCACGUCUUGACGGUACCUAAACAGAAAGCCACGGCUAACUACGUG
This 497-nucleotide ribosomal RNA is filed under the name uncultured bacterium. RNAcentral's name for it is "partial 16S ribosomal RNA". It matches the Rfam family "Bacterial small subunit ribosomal RNA", at positions 28 to 507 of the family's 1533-position model. The record is from RNAcentral.